Molecule: non-coding RNA, 428 nt
Organism: Pelobates cultripes (western spadefoot toad)
Lineage: Eukaryota; Metazoa; Chordata; Amphibia; Anura; Pelobatidae
Source: the annotation of a GenBank genome assembly
UGGGUCUCAUGCUUAUCUGAGAAAAGGGUCUGUCUCUCCCUUAUGAUUGCACUAAGUUGCAAGGACUUGUCUAUUUAUGUUUUCACAGCCUAGUUCGGACUGGUUUGAUGGACUCCAACUGAUUAUCGUAUACUGCAGUCAUCUACGUUGGCGAUUUUCUUGUUUCCUGUGAUGAAUUUGUCCCGGUUCAUCGGAUUGUUACCUGGUUGGACUCCGAUUGGAUUUAAAGGCUGUUGUUAUUGUGUGGUUGGACUAAUCCCUCGGUUUCUGUUUGAUGUUUGUUUAUUGUGGUCACAUCUCCAAAGAAAGAGGAAAUGUGUAGGGAGGUGCUGACUAUUAUACUGGGACUUGUUAUGGGAGUGGCUUAUCACUAUGUACGCCAUUUUUUCUUACUGUUUUGUAUUUGCUGCUAUUAGUGGACAGUAAAG